UACGACUACAUAUCAGGCAUAUCAAUAAGCGGAGGAAAAGAAACUAACAAGGAUUCCCCUAGUAACGGCGAGUGAAGCGGGAAGAGCUCAAAUUUGAAAUCUUCAAGGUUCUACCUUGACGAAUUGUAGUUUAAAGAAGUGUUUUCGGUUAGAGGAGUAGUAAAAGUUCUUUGGAAUAGGACAUCAUAGAGGGUGAGAAUCCCGUAUUUGACUAUUCUUUCUAGCUUUGUGAUACACUUUCAAAGAGUCGGAUUGUUUGGGAAUGCAGUCCAAAAUGGGUGGUAAAUUUCAUCUAAAGCUAAAUAUUGGCGAGAGACCGAUAGCGAACAAGUACCGUGAGGGAAAGAUGAAAAGAACUUUGAAAAGAGAGUUAAACAGUACGUGAAAUUGUCAAAAGGGAAGCGUUUGACACCAGUGUUGUUUCUACGAAAAUCAAUUUAUGAUGGCUUGAUGCUAAGCUUUAAGACUUUAUCAGCCUGUUGUUUAGUUUUCUUGUCUUUGUGAAUGCACUUUUCGUGGAACAAGUCAACAUCAAUUUCUUUUGCUGUAAAAGGGUAAGAGGAAGGUGGCUUCGGCUUCGGUUGAAGUGUUUAUAGCCUUUUAUCUCUGCAGUCGGAGAGAUUGAGGUCUGCAGCGUAGACUCUUCGGGGUUAGAUACGUCGGUGCUAAGCUAUAGCUUUUCAUAGACAACUUGUUGACUAUGUUUAGUCAUGUGGCUUACCCGCUGGCGCUAUUUUACCUACGCUUAGGAUGUUGACUGAUAUGUAGUCGUA
This 773-nucleotide ribosomal RNA is filed under the name uncultured Neocallimastigales. RNAcentral describes it as "partial large subunit ribosomal RNA". It matches the Rfam family "Eukaryotic large subunit ribosomal RNA", at positions 24 to 644 of the family's 3401-position model. Lineage: Eukaryota; Fungi; Neocallimastigomycota; Neocallimastigomycetes; Neocallimastigales. The record is from RNAcentral.